CAGCCUGAGGAGCACAGGUGAAGGCAAUUCACCUGUGCUGCCAGAAGGGUGGAGCCAGGCUCCAGCUCUCCUAGACCUAUUUAAGAGCUGGCUAUCAGUGGGGAAGGGUUUCUUCUGGAGAUUGCCUUUGCUGGUGUUUUGUGAGCAAGCCCAGGAUAGGGCAGCACACAAUUGUACCAAUUAUAAUUGAGAUGCUCCAAACUUCCACCUACACCACUUCACCAGACGCCCUUGCUCUGGGCUGGAAAAACACGCUGAAUUGUGAGGCAUCUUUUAUUAAACAAACAGCAAUUGAGAAAGAAGCAAGCACUUAAGCCACCACUGUGUUCUGCUGAGAGCCCAAGUGAACUGCUACUAAGAGCAGGGGAGAAGUCUCCUGCAACAACCAGGCGCCCUUAGAGCAGACAUUCAAAUAAUGCGACAUUAUUCAUCACAAUAGUAUCUCUCAUUAGCAGAUGAUUAUCGCUACGGAUGUAAGCAAGAUGAGGCUUCUAGGGAGAAACAGUUUCUUUUAUUAGACUAGUUGGCAUAUUUGGAAGAAACUAACAAGCUUUGAGGAGCACAGACUCUAUUGCAAGGCACUGUCUGAAACCAUUUUCAACAUGUCUGUUCACCAGUCACUCCUCACUUCUUGGAUCUUCUGUUGCUUGGGUAAGUUCACCAGGACACUGCACAAGUUAUCCUCUCCCAGGAUUUGAUCAGACAGGUUACGCCACAAGUGUAUUUGUAUCAUGUAGUCCUGGUGUCUCCUGGUGCAGAAAGCAGAGGAAAGUCUGGAGGAAAGCAGAGCCCUGUCCUGGAAGCCAGCACUUCAGAGGCUGUAGUAAGAGGGACACCCCAGGGGACAAGAGGUAGGUGAUGCAGGCAUGACAAGGGGGUUCCCAGCCCAGAAGCCCAUGGGAGGACCACAUCCUGUGGCUUUUCCCCACUGUUACCCCUCUUUCUCUGGGCUCCCAGGGGUCUGACAUACAACCUAGUUCAGCACAGGGAAAAAGCACCAGGGGCUUUCCUGUGCCUACCCAACUCGCAGCCCACUCAACUGUGCUUAAUGCUGUCUUCAUGCUGUCAGCUCAGUGAUGAGAAAGAGUGCUACCUUCAGGAAAAAAAGAACUGUUUGAAGUGGUGGAAGGUCUCCAGACACUGCAGCAAUGCACAUGCCUUGUCGCUUACAAGAGGAAAGGAGGAUGCAUGUGACACUAGCUGUGGGUGACAGCCGUGGGCAGAUGCUGCCAUGCCAGAAGGACUCAGCAUCACUCAUCCAGCACCUCCCCAGCAAGGGAUGCAGCUCACAAGGGUGGAACCCCAGACGCUGUGCAGGAAGCCAUCCCAGCAAGCUGUCGCUUCACUGUCUGCAUGCAUUUCUUUCCUUUGGGGGAGGCUGUGCACUGCUCUAUCCACCCCAUUAACAGUCUUCACCUUCUCUCAAAUAUGUUCUUGGUUUAAAUGAUGUGUGUUGCAAUCACCUCCCAAAGUCUUUUGGAUGCCUUUUUCCUGAAUGCUGAGUCUUCACAAAUUAAGCAUGUCAGAGCUUACGUGCAUCUUUUUCUUUCUUACUGUACUUCUUAUUCUGAGAAGCGUGGUCUGACCAUAGAGAAACAUUAGCCUGCAUACCGUUUUCAGAAGCUCAGAGAUCUCAGCACUUGCCACACAGCAAGAUUUGGACUUUCUGUGUACUAGGUAUAGUUCCAGCCCUCAUGGAGGUAGAAAGGAAAGGUUUGAAAAUGAAUCUGAUCUCUGAUCAUCCAGAGAACGAAAGACAACCAAAACCAUGGAUAUAGUUUUUAAAAAUAUGUAAUGUUAGAACACCUUGAGAUUUUUGGAAGUUUGGGGCUGGCAAAAGAAAAUGUGCCUCUUAAUUUCCUGGGUUUGGAGAAAGAUGUAUCUGUACUGCAGAAAAAUAG
This is a long non-coding RNA of Tympanuchus pallidicinctus (lesser prairie-chicken), 1901 nucleotides long. RefSeq lists it as uncharacterized. Lineage: Eukaryota; Metazoa; Chordata; Aves; Galliformes; Phasianidae. The record is from RefSeq and is a predicted model, not a curated record. The transcript has 2 exons.